UUUCCGUAGGUGAACCUGCGGAAGGAUCAUUAUUGAAAUAAACCUGAUGGGUUGUUACUGGCUCUCUAGGGAGCAUGUGCACGCCUUGUCAUCUUUAUAUCUCCACCUGUGCACCUUUUGUAGACCUUUCAGGUCUAUGUUGCUUCAUUUAUACCCCAAUGUAUGUUAAUAGAAUGUUGUGCCUAUAUUAUAAUAUAUACAACUUUCAGCAACGGAUCUCUUGGCUCUC
This 229-nucleotide unclassified non-coding RNA is filed under the name plant metagenome. RNAcentral describes it as "partial contains small subunit ribosomal RNA, internal transcribed spacer 1, and 5.8S ribosomal RNA". The record is from RNAcentral.